Molecule: unclassified non-coding RNA, 247 nt
Filed under: Pleosporales sp.
Lineage: Eukaryota; Fungi; Ascomycota; Dothideomycetes; Pleosporales
Description: partial contains 5.8S ribosomal RNA, internal transcribed spacer 2, and large subunit ribosomal RNA
Source: RNAcentral
CGCACAUUGCGCCCCUUGGUAUUCCAUUGGGCAUGCCUGUUCGAGCGUCAUCUACACCUUCAAGCUACGCUUGGUGUUGGGCUUCUGUCCGCGAAUCUUCGGGGACUCGCCUCAAAUCCAUUGGCAGCGGCUCCGUUGACCCCUUGCGCAGCACUUCUGGCGCACAUGGGAGGCCAUCGGCGGGUCGGCGUCCAUCAAGAAACCAUCGUUUGACCUCGAAUCAGGUAGGGAUACCCGCUGAACUUAA